Long non-coding RNA from Bombus impatiens (common eastern bumble bee), 2334 nucleotides. RefSeq lists it as uncharacterized. The transcript is spliced from 3 exons. Lineage: Eukaryota; Metazoa; Arthropoda; Insecta; Hymenoptera; Apidae. The record is from RefSeq and is a predicted model, not a curated record.
CUUUCGACUAUAAUUUCAUCGAUGUCAAACAUCUACCUCGAUUUCUGGUCUUUCUAUUUUUAAAUCAUCCAUGGAAUCGAAAUCUUUUAAUUCGCUUACUGUCGGGCACGAAUAAAACAACAUCUACAACAUUUGGCUCGAGCAAAAGUGAUAGACGGGCAUAAGCUGUCGCUCAAAAGUAUUCAGACAUUUUUUUUAUUUUUACAGCAUAUAAUUUAGUUACGGAAUUACGAAUGCAAAGACUAAUGAUAAGUUUUGUCUGUUUGAUAAGUCUAUCGAGAAUUGUAUGUCGUUAACGUACAAUUAGAAACUAAUCCGUGAUAACAAAAUUGAUAUCGAUUAUGUUAGCGUCCAAACAUUAUGAAACACUUUUGCUAUUUAAAAUGUUCUUUAUUCUUGGAUCAUUUAGUUUCUUAACUAUACACAGAUUAAAACGUUCUUAUGAUACACAAAUACAGAGUAGGUUGUUUGGAUACAAACUACAAGAAUUAUAAAACUGGUGAUUGAUUAAAACAGUAAAAUUGAAGCCAGUGCAAUAUCGACUCGUGUAUUUAAUUUCAAUAUGAUAUUAAUAGAACAACCUUAAACAACCAUUCCCUUUCAGAAUACUCUCGGAACAAAUGAAAUAAAGUGUACAACAUUUGAAGACGACAAACGUUUCCUCUACCCAUAAAGGAAACAAUUUACCAUUAAUUUAUCCAUCUCAGCGAGCUUCGUAUCUCGUUGCAAAGCAACGAAAAUAUCUAGAUACUUAUGAGCGGAAAUGUUAACAUUCCCCGGAUACUCCUUUAUUCGCACGAGUAUCUGCGUCGGCGUCGAACCUCUACUACCCACGCUCCCGUUCAAAGCCAUCUCCAACUUCAACGCAAUCGUUACAACCACGAAGAACCAACAAAACGAAAAAAAAAUAUACGACUUACUCCCAGCCAAAUAUGCUUCCGUCCAAAAAUACGCGAAGAAUCGUAGCCGUGAAGCAGGGACAGUAAAUGCGUGAUUUGUUAUGCUUACUGAAUCGCCGAGAAGGAUUGGAUCAAUAAUCCUCGGACACGAACCAAAACUCAGCUGACGAGCGUCUGGCCGGGUCACACCACUGAACAUUCUAAACUAAGCCUAGAAGCCGGAGGGAAGCUAGCAACGCGACCUUUCUGGCCGCUAGAAAGGGUUCCAGGCCGGUUUUGCUGUGCGUGGCAGCCUCGUCGAAGCGAAAGGGGAUCCAGGCUGGUUACCGACCGUGGUGGAUGUCGCCGAAGAGGUGGCAGCGCUUCGUGGAGGGUGCUGCGAGCACGGCUUUACGCUUGCGGCCAGCGCAGCGUCAGUCGUUCGUCCAGAGACACGAACCCGUAGAACGAGCCGCUCGUGUUUUCGGCUUUCCGGGACGCUGCACGAGCCUGCGCGUCUCCAUCUAGGCGUCGGCUGGGGGUUCGAACCGACGAACCCUUGGCUUGAUAACAGUGCCACGCCAUCCGUCGCUGGCAACGCAUAAAUUGCAUGUGCCAGGCGUCAAGCGUUCAUCAGCUAGCUACCUCGUUGAUUCGAUUGUUUUUCACAUGUUUCUUCGUUGGAGGACGACCGUUUCUUUGUCGAGUUCGAGCUUAGGUGGUUUCUGUUCGGGUUAACGAGGUGUCUGCGAGUUGUGGGAGUUGAGUAUGGCAACUGACCCUUCGGUAUAUCACGCGCGAUUUUUGGCUCGAGUUUCUUUAUAUGUUGGCGACAAUCAAACGGGAAAUAGGAACGGGGUAGUGGGAACCGAGUUAAAAAAAGAAAGAAAGAAAAAAAGAAGAGAGAAGAGGAAAAAAAAAGAAAAACAUGAAUAUGAAUGAUUAUAUACCCGGUGUGUGCCGGUUGAAGUUAUUAAUAUUCCAUUCAAAACCGUGGUUUCUAUUCAGAACACUCUCUGGAAAUUCAAAUGAAUCGAGUGAAUUCUGAUCCGCGGCCAGAUUGCAGUUGGAAAGUGGACGACCAUUACCGUCCAUUCUAUAAAUUUGGAUCGUCCUUUAUGGUGGCUCGUUAAAACUAACGUAGUUACCGGCCGAUCUCUGGGAUUAAAUCGGUCAAACAAGCUGGCCAGAUGACUCGGAAAACGGCUCGGAAAACAAACGGAAGUGCUGAGCAACCUGCUAGCGACGAUAACAGGGCAACUUCGAAUUGAUAUUUGCGAUACGAUGUAAAAUUGUGUGUUCCGUCCAGGAAGAUCCGACAAACGCUUUAUUUCCGUUGCAACGUACAAGUAUCUGCUAAAUCGUGGAUACAGCGUUACUAAUUGGUAAAAUAACAUACACGGUAUGAUUAAAAACAUAGUGGAAUGUUUACAGCGCUUCUAACGGUCACUAAAAU